Molecule: ribosomal RNA, 246 nt
Filed under: uncultured bacterium
Lineage: Bacteria
Description: partial 16S ribosomal RNA
Rfam family: Bacterial small subunit ribosomal RNA
Source: RNAcentral
AUACGUAGGUGGCAAGCGUUGUCCGGAAUUACUGGGUGUAAAGGGAGCGUAGGCGGGGACGCAAGUCAAGUGUUAAAUCUACCGGCUCAACUGGUAGCUGCGCUUGAAACUGCGACUCUUGAGUGAAGUAGAGGCAGGCGGAAUUCCUAGUGUAGCGGUGAAAUGCGUAGAUAUUAGGAGGAACACCAGUGGCGAAGGCGGCCUGCUGGGCUUUUACUGACGCUGAUGCUCGAAAGCGUGGGGAGC